This 691-nucleotide ribosomal RNA is filed under the name uncultured bacterium. RNAcentral's name for it is "bacterial SSU rRNA". It matches the Rfam family "Bacterial small subunit ribosomal RNA", at positions 28 to 765 of the family's 1533-position model. The record is from RNAcentral.
AACGUACGCUGGCGGCACGCCUAACACAUGCAAGUCGAACGCAGUAGCAAUACUGAGUGGCAGACGGGUGAGUAACAUGUGGGAAUCUGCCUUGUGGUUCAGGACAACAUUGGGAAACCGAUGCUAAUACUGGAUAAGCCCUUACGGGGAAAGUUUUAAUGCCAUAAGAUGAGCCCGCAUUUGAUUAGUUAGUUGGUGAGGUAAUGGCUCACCAAGACAAUGAUCAAUAGCUGAUCUGAGAGGAUGAUCAGCCACACUGGGACUGAGACACGGCCCAGACUCCUACGGGAGGCAGCAGUGGGGAAUCUUGCACAAUGGAGGAAACUCUGAUGCAGCGAUGCCGCGUGAGUGAAGAAGGCCUUUGGGUUGUAAAGCUCUUUUGUAGGGGAAGAUAAUGACUGUACCCUAAGAAUAAGGCCCGGCUAACUUCGUGCCAGCAGCCGCGGUAAUACGAAGGGACCUAGCGUAGUUCGGAAUUACUGGGCGUAAAGCGCGCGUAGGCCGUUGAGUUAGUUAAUUGUGAAAUCCCAAAGCUUAACUUUGGAACUGCAAUUAAAACUGCUCAACUAGAGUUUGAUAGAGGAAAGCGGAAUACAUAGUGUAGAGGUGAAAUUCGUAGAUAUUAUGUAGAACACCAGUUGCGAAGGCGGCUUUCUGGAUCAACACUGACGCBNNNGCGCCNGCGCSCGUC